AUAUAUAUAUAUAUAUACACAUACAUACAUACAAAUACAUUUAUAAAAUGAGAGUUGCCUCUAGCGGCAGCUACAUAUAUAUUAAAACAUGCAUCACCAAGCGUAACGACACUGCACUAUUAGAGACAUCAGUUUUAAUAGGAAUCCUCAGAUUUGCAGGAGGUGAAUACCAGAGUUUGCAGAUUGACCUACAGUAUCUGUCUGUGAGACAUGAGGGAGAGAACACCCCUAUGUUAUGCUUACUAGGGGAGCAGAGCUGAGUGUUAUCAGCAAUGUUCUCACCAUCCUCCUUCUACUGUUCUGUCUUCUGGGAGAAUAAUGUGCCUUGAGAAGAACUUUCAGAAAACUUCACCUGGAUGACUGAGAAUCUUCACAGACAUAUUAUGCUUAAAUUAAAAAAGAAUGAUUUUGGAUCAUUUAUUACCAUCAAGCAUUCUUAAAAAUUUGAUGCGUUUUUACUUACCAAAAUGAAAACUAAGACAAAUAUACUGUAUGCAAAGAGUGUGAUUUGAACUGAGGACAAGAUAUUUUCAGGACCCAUUUAGACUUUAACCCUCUUAUUACAGUAUGUUGCAGGUCAAAUUGACUUACGUGUUUUUAAAAAAUUAAACAAAUAGUUAAAAGCAUUUUUCCCCACUUAAAACUUCCUCAACAUGUAAAAUAAAAUUGGUGAACAUCACAUAUUUGCAACCCUCCCUACAGUCGUAGGGUUAGAGUACUGUAGGGUUAAAUGUCAUAUACUGUUGGACUUUUUUGUUUGCAGCUGUGAGACAUAUUUAAGUCUCACACUCUCCUAUAUUGUCUUGACAUCAUCUAUAAUGUGCAAAAAUGCAGUUUUGUUAUGACUUUUGAUUGGACCAACAUAACCUGUAACAAUUUUUUCACAAACUACAACCUGGGUGUUAUGCGAGACACAGAGGAGGAAGCCAGAGUGAAAGCAAACAGUGAUUUUUUGCGAAAACACGGAAGUAGAGUAAUCCGGUGGUGCGCGGAAAAGCGCGGCCCACAAAGGUCCAGAGUUAAGACGGCAGUCUGUGUAUUCCGGUGGUGCGCGGUGGAAGUGCGGUGUACUAACCAGGGAAGCGCUUGGGAGAAGCACGAAGCUGAACAUGAACACAGGAGUGUCGAGGAAUGAGCAGCCAAACCAUGGAUAAUAACUGACGGUGAGUGGGAGUGAGAGAGGGGAUUAUAUAUGGUGGUUGAUGAGAGUGAAAUGAGAGUCAGGUGAGAGCAAUCAGUAAGCAGGCGAGCCGCUCCGUGCGGGCGGGGCACACACGGGAGAAGAGUCAGAGAGCUCCCUGACACUGGGCCAGGAGCUUCUAAAGAGAAAUUUCAUGUUUGUUUUCACAUACUGUUCAGAACAGCCAGUAACAACUUACUAACAACAACUGUCUUACUGCCCCAACAAGGGAAAAACUCUAUUCUCAUGAUCACUUUUCACAAAAAUGCUGAAAGCAGCACAUGUGAGAACCAGAAACUGAGCUUUGUUGGAUGGAGAUGUUUCCUACUGUAAGUGCAACGUGUCAAAGUGGUACAAGAGGCACAUCUUCUCUAAGGAGCUGGGGAAGACACAUGUGAUACCACAUGUACAUGGAACAUGUACCAAGGACCCAGCAGCUGUACAGUGAGGGAUUCAGGACAGGAUGUCACCUUGUGCGCCAGCAUGCCAGUUAAGCGUCUCUGAGCAUGUGUACAUUUUGUUGUUACUGGGGAUAAAGAAAUUGGAAGAAGCAGACAGGUCUGCAGCCAUCUGAUGAUGGAAAGACUAACAUGUGAACCACAUCACAGUGUGGUCUGUACAAAUGACCAUUCACAGGGACCACACUGUGAUACCAUGUCCCUACUGUGUAGAUGCCCACAUAUUAGGGGUGUGCAAAGCAGACGUUAUUUGUAUCUGUAUUUGUAUUUGUUGAGGGGGGAAAAGCAUUUGUAUUUGUAUUCGUAUUCGAAUAAAAUUCAAAAUAGGCAUAAAAAUCCAUUUUUUUUGCAUCACACCUCUAAUUUACAUCAUAGUGUAAGUAUUCUUUAAUUAUAUUCAUUAUAAUAAUUAUGGAUAUGCAAUAUUGGUUGAUGUUUUUGAACACGUAACAAGGAACGUCAUUGAAAAGAAAAUAACAUAACAGCCAUUACCUCAUCCAUGGUUAAACAAACAACUAAUAAUAUACCAUUGUGAACAUUAUGAACCCCACCACCCCUCUUUGUUGGAGGAUGCUGAACAGACAGAAUAAAAACAAAUAAUAUUUCAAAGAA
Long non-coding RNA from Tachysurus fulvidraco (yellow catfish), 2250 nucleotides. RefSeq lists it as uncharacterized. The record is from RefSeq and is a predicted model, not a curated record. NCBI's taxonomy places the organism in Eukaryota, Metazoa, Chordata, Actinopteri, Siluriformes, Bagridae. The transcript is spliced from 2 exons.